Molecule: ribosomal RNA, 451 nt
Filed under: uncultured Paludibacter sp.
Lineage: Bacteria; Pseudomonadati; Bacteroidota; Bacteroidia; Bacteroidales; Paludibacteraceae
Description: partial 16S ribosomal RNA
Rfam family: Bacterial small subunit ribosomal RNA
Source: RNAcentral
ACGGAAGGCAGCAGUGAGGAAUAUUGGUCAAUGGGCGGAAGCCUGAACCAGCCAAGUCGCGUGAGGGAAGACGGCCCUACGGGUUGUAAACCUCUUCUGCGCGGGGGUAAAGUCGGGGACGGGUCCCCGAUUGCAAGUACCGCGCGAAAAAGGAUCGGCUAACUCCGUGCCAGCAGCCGCGGUAAUACGGAGGAUCCGAGUGUUAUCCGGAUUUAUUGGGUUUAAAGGGUGCGCAGGCGGGAUGUCAAGUCAGUGGUGAAAUGGUGCGGCUCAACCGUAGCAUUGCCGUCGAAACUGGCGUCCUUGAGUGCGAAUGAGGUACGCGGAACGUGUCAUGUAGCGGUGAAAUGCAUAGAUAUGACACAGAACACCGAUUGCGAAGGCAGCGUACUGGGACGCGACUGACGCUGAGGCACGAAAGUGCGGGGAUCGAACAGGAUUAGAUACCCUA